RNAcentral lists this ribosomal RNA (468 nucleotides) under uncultured bacterium. RNAcentral describes it as "partial 16S ribosomal RNA". It matches the Rfam family "Bacterial small subunit ribosomal RNA", at positions 28 to 507 of the family's 1533-position model. The record is from RNAcentral.
GACGAACGCUGGCGGCGUGCUUAACACAUGCAAGUCGAACGGAAAGGCCCUGCUUUUGUGGGGUGCUCGAGUGGCGAACGGGUGAGUAACACGUGAGUAACCUGCCCUUGACUUUGGGAUAACUUCAGGAAACUGGGGCUCAUACCGGAUAGGAGCUCCUGCUGCAUGGUGUGGGUUGGAAAGUUUCGGCGGUUGGGGAUGGACUCGCGGCUUAUCAGCUUGUUGGUGGGGUAGUGGCUUACCAAGGCUUUGACGGGUAGCCGGCCUGAGAGGGUGACCGGCCACAUUGGGACUGAGAGACGGCCCAGACUCCUACGGGAGGCAGCAGUGGGGAAUAUUGCACAAUGGGCGGAAGCCUGAUGCAGCAACGCCGCGUGCGGGAUGACGGCCUUCGGGUUGUAAACCGCUUUCGCCUGUGACGAAGCGUGAGUGACGGUAAUGGGUAAAGAAGCACCGGCUAACUACGUG